CGCCUCUUGAGAUAUAUAAGAGGUCCAGCCUGCCCAGUGACUCUGUUUAACGGCCGCGGUACCCUGACCGUGCGAAGGUAGCACAAUCACUUGCCUUUUAAAUAAAGGCUAGUAUGAAAGGCACCACGAGAAUUUAACUGUCUCCCUCUUCUAAUCAGUGAAACUAACCCCCCUGUGAAAAAGCAGGGAUAAUAAUACAAGACGAGAAGACCCUAUGGAGCUUCAAACGAAAUGACACCCAACCCACUCCACACAAUUUUUCAGAAAACUAACUCAACGGGCAGGCUGAUCACAAGUUUUUGGUUGGGGUGACCGCGGAGCAGAAUCCACCCUCCGCAAUAAAAAGGGCAAAGCCUUAAACUAAUAGCCACAACUUAAAGAAUCAACAAAUUGAUAUAAUUGACCCAAUAUUUUGAUCAACGAACCAAGUUACCCUAGGGAUAACAGCGCAAUCAGCUUCAAGAGUACGUAUCGACAAGCAGGUUUACGACCUCGAUGUUGGAUCAGGGCAUCCCAGUGGUGCAGCCGCUACUAAUGGUUCGUUUGUUCAACGAUUAAAGCCCU
This 564-nucleotide ribosomal RNA is filed under the name Serranobatrachus delicatus. RNAcentral describes it as "partial large subunit ribosomal RNA". It matches the Rfam family "Bacterial large subunit ribosomal RNA", at positions 1831 to 2597 of the family's 2925-position model. The record is from RNAcentral. Lineage: Eukaryota; Metazoa; Chordata; Amphibia; Anura; Strabomantidae.